This 29-nucleotide small RNA is filed under the name Bombyx mori (domestic silkworm). RNAcentral's name for it is "ovarian small RNA-19399". Lineage: Eukaryota; Metazoa; Arthropoda; Insecta; Lepidoptera; Bombycidae. The record is from RNAcentral.
UAAGUCAUUUUGCUGAACCUUACCAUGGU